UGGGGAAUCUUCCGCAAUGGACGAAAGUCUGACGGAGCGACGCCGCGUGAGUGAUUACGGCCUUCGGGUUGUAAAGCUCUGUUAAUCGGGACGAAUGGUUCUUGUGCAAAUAGUGCGAGGAUUUGACGGUACCGGAAUAGAAAGCCACGGCUAACUACGUGCCAGCAGCCGCGGUAAUACGUAGGUGGCAAGCGUUGUCCGGAAUUAUUGGGCGUAAAGCGCGCGCAGGCGGAUUGGUCAGUCUGUCUUAAAAGUUCGGGGCUUAACCCCGUGAUGGGAUGGAAACUGCCAAUCUAGAGUAUCGGAGAGGAAAGUGGAAUUCCUAGUGUAGCGGUGAAAUGCGUAGAUAUUAGGAAGAACACCAGUGGCGAAGGCGACUUUCUGGACGAAAACUGACGCUGAGGCGCGAAAGCCAGGGGAGCGAACGGGAUUAGAUACCCCGGUAGUCCUGGCCGUAAACGAUGGGUACUAGGUGUAGGAGGUAUCGACCCCUUCUGUGCCGGAGUUAACGCAAUAAGUACCCCGCCUGGGGAGUACGACCGCAAGGUUG
This 550-nucleotide ribosomal RNA is filed under the name uncultured bacterium. Its description in RNAcentral is "bacterial SSU rRNA". It matches the Rfam family "Bacterial small subunit ribosomal RNA", at positions 355 to 896 of the family's 1533-position model. The record is from RNAcentral.